This 356-nucleotide transfer RNA is filed under the name uncultured Microcystis sp. Its description in RNAcentral is "partial 16S-23S ribosomal RNA intergenic spacer". The stretch from base 131 to 204 matches the Rfam family "tRNA". Lineage: Bacteria; Bacillati; Cyanobacteriota; Cyanophyceae; Chroococcales; Microcystaceae. The record is from RNAcentral.
AGGGAGACCUAAUUCAGGUAUAAGACGAAAAAAAGUAGUCCCUACCAAGAAUCAAUCCCAAAAGGUCGGAACGAGGUAUGAGGCUUUCAAACUAGGUUCUGGGUUCAUAAAAGACCUGAAUCAGGAACAAGGGCUAUUAGCUCAGGUGGUUAGAGCGCACCCCUGAUAAGGGUGAGGUCCCUGGUUCGAGUCCAGGAUGGCCCACCUGCACAGGUGGCAAAAACAAGAGAAGCGAGGAAUCAGCACCUUAUCUUAUAUACAUAUAUAAGAGAGAAUGCUGGCUCUGAGUACAGAGUCCAGAGGAACCUUGAAAACUGCAUAGAGCUAGGUGAAAAAGCCAAAAAAGAAGACCGCAA